This 30-nucleotide non-coding RNA is filed under the name Rattus norvegicus (Norway rat). Lineage: Eukaryota; Metazoa; Chordata; Mammalia; Rodentia; Muridae. The record is from RNAcentral.
UNGGGCUUCAUCAUACCUUGUAGCUCCAGU